GCCUGGGUGGCUCAGUCGGUUGAGCAUCUGACUUCAGCUCAGGUCAUGAUCUCACUGUUUGUGGGUUUGAGCCCUGCAUCAGGCU
Molecule: transfer RNA, 85 nt
Filed under: Felis catus (domestic cat)
Lineage: Eukaryota; Metazoa; Chordata; Mammalia; Carnivora; Felidae
Rfam family: tRNA
About the family: Transfer RNA (tRNA) molecules are approximately 80 nucleotides in length. Their secondary structure includes four short double-helical elements and three loops (D, anti-codon, and T loops).
Source: Rfam by way of RNAcentral